This 253-nucleotide ribosomal RNA is filed under the name uncultured bacterium. RNAcentral's name for it is "partial 16S ribosomal RNA". It matches the Rfam family "Bacterial small subunit ribosomal RNA", at positions 524 to 776 of the family's 1533-position model. The record is from RNAcentral.
UACAGAGGGUGCGAGCGUUAAUCGGAAUUACUGGGCGUAAAGGGUGUGUAGGUGGUUGGGUAAGUUAGAUGUGAAAUCCCCGGGCUUAACCUGGGAACUGCGUUUAAAACUGCUUGACUAGAGUAUUGCAGAGGGUAGUGGAAUUUCCAGUGUAGCGGUGAAAUGCGUAGAUAUUGGAAGGAACACCAGUGGCGAAGGCGACUACCUGGGCAAAUACUGACACUGAGACACGAAAGCAUGGGGAGCAAACAGG